AGCUUCGACUAAGGUUCGACUCGAGCGUCAGCGAGAGAACGUUGCCGCAGGCAACGGCCCGAAGGGCGAGGCGCUUUAGCGCCGAGUAAUCCUUCCCCCACCACCA
This 106-nucleotide small RNA is filed under the name Klebsiella aerogenes. Its description in RNAcentral is "partial RtT sRNA". It matches the Rfam family "RtT RNA", at positions 28 to 130 of the family's 130-position model. Rfam says of the family: This family represents a bacterial cis-regulatory element known as RtT RNA. The exact function of RtT is unknown although it is thought that it may be involved in changing the cellular response in relation to amino acid starvation. The record is from RNAcentral. Lineage: Bacteria; Pseudomonadati; Pseudomonadota; Gammaproteobacteria; Enterobacterales; Enterobacteriaceae.